Molecule: long non-coding RNA, 1322 nt
Filed under: Homo sapiens (human)
Lineage: Eukaryota; Metazoa; Chordata; Mammalia; Primates; Hominidae
Description: HSALNT0020033
Source: RNAcentral
GUUGGGAUUACAGGCGUGAGCCACUGUGCCCAGCCCUUUUAUUUUAUUUUUUAGAGACAGAGUCUUGCUCUGUCACCCCGCCUGGAGUACAGUGGUGCAAUCUCGGCUCACUGCAAACUCCACCUCCUGGGUUCAAGCGAUUCUCCUGCGUCAGCCUCCUGAGUAGCUGGGACUACAGGCAUGCACCACCGGGCCCAGCUAAUAAUUUAGUUGCUAUGUCUUCACAGGCUUCUUUUGGCAGUGACAGUUAUCUGAUGGUAUUUUAACUCACUGAAAAUGCGUAAGGUGAUAGAAGCAGCCUCUCAAAAAACAAGCAAAAACCUAUAUGGCUUCUGCAUAUACUAGAGGUUCUGGGUUUGGUGUGAACUUUUUAAUACCACUCAUCAUUCUUGAAUAACACAAUAACCACCAACACAAAAACAAAGAGAAAUUAGUUACUAAUUACUUUCCAGGGUAGAUAAUUCUUACACAGGGAACAAAGGAAAAAGAUACAACAUUACCUCAACCCUCAGGAACUAAAUUUCCUCAUCUGGAAAAUGGGAGAUAAUAAUAGUACUAACUUCUUCAUUACUGUGAGAGUUAAGAAAAGCAAAGAGAAGAUUAUUUUGAUACCCAAAACAUCUAAGGAACGACUGAAGUAUUAAGAUUUUUUCAUGUCUUAUAUACGGUCUCUCCAAUCUAACUAUACCCUUGUGUUGUUUGUUUUUGUUGCUGUUUGAGACAGGGUCUCUGUCACCCAGGCUGGAGUGCAGUGGUGCAAUCUCACUGCAGCCUCAACCUCAUGGGUUCAAGUGAUCCGUCCAUGUCAGCCUCCCUAGUAGCUGGGACCACAGGCACAUGCCCCAACACCUGGCUAAUUUUUCCAUUUUUCUGGGGAAAUGGGCAGCCAUGCUGCCCAGGCUGGUCUCGAACUCCUGAGCUCAAGCUAUCUGCCUAACUCAGCCUCCCAAACUGCUGGGAUUAUUGGCGUGAGCCAUUGCGCCCAACCCUGACUAUACCUUUGUAAGUGAAUAUAACCUACAAACAUUUUUUGUCACCUCCCUUUUCCCAGCUUCUGAAUAACCAAGUUUACAAAGUACAAUGAAUAGAAUCUUUUCAAAUUUUCCAAUGACCUCUGCACAAUGUCCCAAAACCAACCUUGGAGAAGAGCCCAAUCGGCUUGAUGGGUUUCUCCUGCAUGAAACCCCAAUCCUUCAGAUCACAUUCUCUUCAGCUUUAUGUUACCUCAGAAGCUAUCGGUCCUGACUCACGAACCUGAGGUUUUUUUUUUUGAGACGGAGUUUCGCUCUUGUUGCCCAGGAUGGAGUGCAAUGGCAUGAUCU